This 777-nucleotide ribosomal RNA is filed under the name uncultured bacterium. Its description in RNAcentral is "bacterial SSU rRNA". It matches the Rfam family "Bacterial small subunit ribosomal RNA", at positions 54 to 848 of the family's 1533-position model. The record is from RNAcentral.
CAUGCAAGUCAACUUGAAUUUGGGUUUUUAACUUAGAUUUGGGUGGCGGACGGGUGAGUAACGCGUAAAGAACUUGCCUCACAGCUAGGGACAACAUUUAGAAAUGAAUGCUAAUACCUGAUAUUAUGAUUUUAAGGCAUCUUAGAAUUAUGAAAGCUAUAUGCGCUGUGAGAGAGCUUUGCGUCCCAUUAGCUAGUUGGAGAGGUAACAGCUCACCAAGGCGAUGAUGGGUAGCCGGCCUGAGAGGGUGAACGGCCACAAGGGGACUGAGACACGGCCCUUACUCCUACGGGAGGCAGCAGUGGGGAAUAUUGGACAAUGGACCGAGAGUCUGAUCCAGCAAUUCUGUGUGCACGAUGAAGUUUUUCGGAAUGUAAAGUGUUUUCAGUUGGGAAGAAAAAAUGACGGUACCAACAGAAGAAGUGACGGCUAAAUACGUGCCAGCAGCCGCGGUAAUACGUAUGUCACGAGCGUUAUCCGGAUUUAUUGGGCGUAAAGCGCGUCUAGGUGGUUAUGUAAGUCUGAUGUGAAAAUGCAGGGCUCAACUCUGUAUUGCGUUGGAAACUGUAUAACUAGAGUACUGGAGAGGUAAGCGGAACUACAAGUGUAGAGGUGAAAUUCGUAGAUAUUUGUAGGAAUGCCGAUGGGGAAGCCAGCUUACUGGACAGAUACUGACGCUAAAGCGCGAAAGCGUGGGUAGCAAACAGGAUUAGAUACCCUGGUAGUCCACGCUGUAAACGAUGAUUACUAGGUGUUGGGGGUCGAACCUCAGCGCCC